GACGAACCGUACGAACGUUAUUCGGAAUCACUGGGCUUAAAGGGUGCGUAGGCUGCGCGGAAAGUUGGGUGUGAAAGCCCUGGGCUCAACCCAGGAAGUGCACUCGAAACUGGCGGGCUAGAGUAUCGGAGAGGUUGGUGGAAUUCUCGGUGUAGAGGUGAAAUUCGUAGAUAUCGAGAGGAACACCGGUGGCGAAGGCGGCCAACUGGACGAAUACUGACGCUGAGACACGAAAGCGUGGGGAGCAAACAGG
Molecule: ribosomal RNA, 253 nt
Filed under: uncultured bacterium
Lineage: Bacteria
Description: partial 16S ribosomal RNA
Rfam family: Bacterial small subunit ribosomal RNA
Source: RNAcentral